GGAUCCUGUAGAGUGAGGUUAGCACCCGAAGUUUGGAGUUCUCUUCCGUGUUUGCUGCCCAAGGUUGUUUCUAAUUUAUUAUCUACGCUAUAUAAUUUAUGCGUUGUCCUUUGAUAUUACCCCUUAUUUGUAGCUAUAUGUGAGGCUUGUCUUCUAAAACUCACAUAUGGUGCGUAUCUGAUUUUGUCCUUAAAAUCGGGUGUUAUAAAGUGGUAUCAAAGCAAUGCUGACUGUAGGACGCAAGCCUAGCUAGAACCAGACGUUUUAGAAUGCUUCUAUCUCUGCUUACUUCUUGCUUUCACCUUAACCUUGAUAAUUGCUAACAAAAAAUUAUGCUUACCUCUGUCCUAUUCUAUUAUAAAACUUUGUCUCUAUUCUAAAUCCAACCUCCUUGUCAAUUUAGAUGGCUCAUAAUGAAGAGACCUUUGGCAUGAAUGGACAAAAGGACCUCGCUUCGCCACCCAUAAAAGCAUUUAACAAAGAGAAGCUUCAAGCCAUGCAAAAGCAAGUAGUGGAAGGAAUGACUCAGAAUGGGAACUCUCAGCAGUGCAUCUCAGGACCAGUGAAGAGACAAGUAGCAGAAGCUUGGAAAAAUAUGAGAACCCAUGGAGGUGGUGGUAGUAAUACAUCGGGAUAUCAGGAUCAAUGCCAUUGCUGUAGGCAUUAUGGUCUUCCUUGUCUUCGGAUUAGGUCAUCUAAAAAGGAAGUUAAGGUAAAAUCAAAUGGUGUGACUAAUGAGGAUAAGAAGAGGAAGGAAAAAUCACUAGAUCCAGCAUUGGGAAGUGAACAACAUUCAAAUCCUAAGUUGUCACAUUUAGCUUUGAACCCUGACUAUGAAAAUCCAAACCUUGGAGAUGAAGAAACUUCUCAAGCUAACCCCACUGCUCAUGAGGUAUGCAUAGAUGGAUGGACCAUCACUUAUAAAGAGUUUCAACCUCGAAAGAUCAACAAAGUUUGGAAGAAAGCAAGCCAGCCGGAGACAAACCUUCAGAGUCAGCGAGUUGAUAACACACCGAGCAACACCUCAGUGGAAAAUGACAUCACAAUGGAUCCAGCUAAGAAAAAGUGUUAUCACUGCCGACAGGAAGGACACUAUGUAAACUCUUGUCCACACAGGAAUCAAUAGAUGCAUCAUAAAAGUAGCCACACUGAGUUUAAGAUAUAGGAGUUUGUACCCUUCUGUAAUAAAAACGCUAGUAGCGAAAGUCGAGUUUGUGUGCCUUGUGAACCUUUACUGCUUGGUUGAAUUGUCUUUAUGUUUAUGUUUGAUUUGGAUCUUUGUAAUGAGUGUAAUGAUCUUGUGAGUUUCUUCACAAUUUCAUUUAGUUUACAUGUCUAAGGCAUAAGGAUUAAUGACAUAACUAGUUGGGUUUUGGUUUUUCCCUUGUUACCUUAUCCUGCCUUUCUAGAGUAUCUCAUCUUUAUCAGUUUAUGUCUCUGUUCUUGGAUGACUAAAAAUCAUGAGAAAAUUCUGGAUAAUAUUAGACUUCAAUAUCUUUCUCUGACCACAAGAAUCACCCUCAUAGCUAUUAUGGUUUGGAAGUUACAAAAAUCACAAAACGAUACAGAUGUCCUGUCAAGAAUCUGGACCAGUUUUGGUUGCCUGCUGUUUUGGACAAAUAUAACUAUAGAAUUUGGAAAAGUGUUCUAUAGAAAGAUUAUAGAAAAUUCUCUAAGCUUUCUAACGGUAUAAGCUAUAACCCUAUUGGAUUAACAGAACAAGAGGUAUGUCCAUUUUACUGCGCUGCUGAUUUUCAUGUCGCGAGGAAAAUCAGGAUAUUUGUUUCUUCCUUGCACAUAAGUUCCUUGGGAUGUCAAAAGGGUCUCAAUGCAAGAUAACUUGUCAAGAAAAAGUGCAAGCUACCUUCCUUGUGCCUUCUAGUCGACCUUUCUUAAGGGGGGUAGUACCUUGAUAUCACCGGUUGAUGCAUUUUCAACUUAUCUUGAAGUGAGAGUUGUCUCUUCAGAAAUUCUAUAAUUAUGAUCAUCUCUCCUUCUCAUGUCGUUGACGUUGGUCACUUGAUGACAGGUAGUGUAGUUUCCCAUGGAUCAGGAGCCCUAUAUGAUGCCUCUUACUGAUACGUGAGAAGAGAAUGAUGAUCCUACCCUUGAAGGAUGUUAUGAGUAUGAUGAAACUGAGUGCUAUCAAAAUAAUGAUACUCAAGAGUAAGUUGGAAGUCAAUCAAAUCAGAAUCCACAACGGCGAAAGAGAAAAAGGAAAAGCCGUAAGAAGCCUGCUCAUGGAAGUAGGGUGCAACGAGACUAUAUCAAUGGGAGACUGAGCAAUGUGGAUAGGCAUAACAUUCAUGGAGCUACCAAAGUGGUUGGUGGCUAUAUUCAAGUAGACUCAGUGCAAGUUUUUGCUCUCUUUGACCCGAGUGCUUCGCAUUCUUUCAUUUCCACCGACCUCGUAAAGACAAUCGAGAGGGUAAAGUGUCCAACGAAGAAGCCUUUACUAGUUCAAAACCCAGUGGGAGAAAUACAAGCAGAUCAGGUGUGCUCAAAUAUCAAUCUGGUCAUAAACAAGGAAGACUUCACUGUAAACCUCAUUGUGCUAGAGUCGCUUGGUAUUCCCAUGGUCCUUGGUAAUGGAUGGUUGUGUGCACACAAAGGAGUGAUCUAUGGUACCGAGUACAAAAUGCUCAUAUUAAGUUUCUAUGUCUCUUGGAGUUGUAAGCUAAGAGGAUUAGUAGUCAAGAUGGAUUUUGGUCAACUAUGAAUAAUAGUUAUUCAAUGGAAAUGUUGUUCACGAGGUGUGACCUUGAGACAAGUGUUUAUGUUUGGUAUGCAAGUUGUGAAGUUGAAAGGAUUAUCAAGAUAUUUUCCUGUUUCUCUCAGAGGAUCUGAGCCUCUUCCGAAUCUCGAGGACGAGAUUCAUUUUAAGGGGGUAGAAUUGUAACACCCUAAAAUUUGCUUGUUUUUAAAUAGUUGAAUUUGAUUUUAUAGUCAAUUUUGUGAGCAUCAAAAUAUAGGAAAAAUAAAUAAAUUCGGAGAAUUAAAAAAAUAUAAUAAAAAUUAAUAUAAGUUUAGAAAUUUUUUUAUACAUACAUGCUGCUGCAUUUUUAUGGUGAUGAUUGUUUUAAAAAAACAAAAUGUCAAUGUGCUCAAAAAUUCAAUUGGAAAAUGCAUUUGGAAAAUGUAUUUGAAAAAGAAAAUGGAUUUUUUUCUCCCCUUUCUCCUCUCGGCCUGCUCGGCCCAGUCUCCCAGCCCCCGCGCCCCCUUUCUCUUUCCUGGGCCGCGGCCCAGCCGGCCUUUCUCCCCCUUUCCCCUCUCUCUCACCGACAAGCGAGGCCUGCUUGUCAGUUCCUUCCCCCUCCUCCCCAACUGCUCUCUCUCUCUCUCUCUCUCGGCGGCAGAGCCGCAAGUCGCACCCCCGCUCCCCACGAUCUCACCCGAUGCCCCGUGCCUUGGAUGUUUUGAAGAGCCCUGCACGCGAGCCGUCUCCCUCCUUCCCCAUCUCACUCUUUCGUGCCUUUGCCACUGCUCACGCGCACAGAGAACCGCCGCCGGAGCACCACCGCCGGCCGCCAGUCGCCCCGGCGCUUCGAGCCAUCCCCUCCGUUUCCGUCGCAUUGGUGAGCUUCCCCUCCUUCUCCGCAAUCUUCUCGGCUAAUUCCUAGGCGCUCGCGUGCUCCCUAGCCCCCUGGCCAUGUUCGCCGGAGAACUCCAUGGCCGCCGGCCAUGGAGCGUGCCGCUCGGGCGCCCCCCCGGCCGCGCAAAGGAUGGGAAUGAACUCCCCUCGCCCUCCUCUCUCUCGCGGAUCAUUCGGUUAGUGAAACGGCGCACCGUAGCGCAGUAGCAGGCCACUCUGGCAACCUCCGCAUCGCCGGCCAUGGCUGCGCCGCCGCAUUCCCCCCAACUCUGGCCAGCAGCGCCACCUCCCUUCCCCCCCAUCUAACCAGCGCCGUUGAAUUCUAAUCCAAGGGCCCAGAGCGCCUCAUACCCUUUCGGGGGAAAAUUUGUUAAAGAGACCCUGUCCUUCUUCCAAAUUCUGCCCGCCGUCCUUAGCGUAUUCGCUAGAAAUACGCUUUGCCACUUAGAAAACGUAAAUUUCAUUGGUUAGGUCAAAAUGCGCUUUCAGAAAUUUACAGUUUUGCCACUGAGUUUGUUUAGCUCACAAAAUAUUCAUUUUAACUCCGAUUUGACCCGUUUAAAUUGCGUUAGAUUCGUUUUCACGAGAUCUAUAUGUUAGUAAUCUUGGUUCAUCAGUUUGAAAUUUUUUAAUUUUGUGACCCUAUUUAAUUAAUUACUUUUCUAUAGGAAAAUCUUAGAAAAUUCAUAUCUUCUCCGUUUUAGCUCCGAUUCGAUCCGUUCAAGUUGCGUUAGUUUCAUAAUUUCGUAAGCUUCACGUUAGUACCACUGUUGUUUAGGUUUACCGCUGUUAGAUUUCCUAGUUAAUUACAAGUCCGUAGAUAGCCUAUGCAGUCCCGUUUAAUGCGUAGAUUUCGCGUCGUAACUCCGUUUUCUGUAAAUUUCUCGUUGACGUGAUCGUAGCAGCGUGUAGAUGAUUUUAGAAAACUUUUAUUUACAUUUAUUUACUGCUGGUGUACUGUUCUAAUUGUAAUCUUGUUUGCUUCGUGUAUGUCUGUCUCCGAUUGUUUGUGUGUUGAUGAUCGAUGAUCGAGAGUAGUCGGUGAGCUUUAUUUCGGUGAUCAAGAUCAGAGCCUUGGAAGCAAGUAAGAUCAGCAGGACUAGCAGGAGCAAUUGGAUCAAGGCAAGUAUAACAUUUGGGUUUUAAUUCUAUGACCAUGAUCUUGUGACUAGAUUGAUAUAAAGCAACAAAUGAUAAUAAUGACUUGUUAACAACUUGAGGAUUUAUUCGUAAGUGAUAACCGGGAUGAAAGUGCAACCAUGAGGGCUAUAAUGGCUCUGGCUUUAGUCAAGUAUGAGUAAUUUUCUAGCUUGUUAGAGGUUACCCGUGUGGCGCAAAUGGGGGAUAGCACACCCUGGAUCCCCUGCGGGGUCGAAUCACAUGGACUGACUAUCGAAACCACGCGGCCCUAACUUGUUAGAUGAACCUUUGAAAGACUUCAUAGUGAUCCCUGCCGACCUACCUUGGCAGUGGGUUACGAGGCUGAUCUCCUCAGGCGAAAGGGUAAAUCAUGACUCAUGGGUAAAGAUGUACAACCUCUGCAGAGCGUUAAAAACUGGUAUACUAGCCGUGCUCACGGUCACGAGCGGCCUUGGGAACUCUUACAUUAAGGGUGAUGAAUCUUGUGUUAAGAAACUCAUCGAUUAUUGUUUAAUGCUCUAUAUUAUUUAUGUCACAUUGAUCAUGAGACCGUGGGAUCUAUACAAUCUAGUUGUUAUACUUGCGGAGUCCGUCUUGGACUCACUCUUGCUAUCUCCCCCACACCUCAGGAGAAGUAUUGGACUUGUGAUCAACCAGUCAGUUGGAUCCUGUAGAGUGAGGUUAGCACCCGAAGUUUGGAGUUCUCUUCCGUGUUUGCUGCCCAAGGUUGUUUCUAAUUUAUUAUCUACGCUAUAUAAUUUAUGCGUUGUCCUUUGAUAUUACCCCUUAUUUGUAGCUAUAUGUGAGGCUUGUCUUCUAAAACUCACAUAUGGUGCAUAUCUGAUUUUGUCCUUAAAAUCGGGUGUUACAAUUCACGUCUUCGUACUAGCCCAUAUCUAGAGGACCCUCCAACCAGUGCCCAGCUGCCUCCCACGGUCCAGCCCUACCCAACCACACACACCCAGGCCUUGUUUAGUUCCAAUUUUUUUUUAAAAAAUCGUCACUGUAGCACUUUCGUUUGUAUUUGACAAAUAUUAUCCAAUCAUGGACUAAUUAGGCUCAAAAGAUUUGUCUCGUCAAUUCCGAUCAAACUGUGCAAUUAAUUUUUAUUUUCAUCUAUAUUUAAUACUUCAUGCAUGUGUCUAAAGAUUCGAUGUGACGGAGAAUCUGAAAAAUUUUGCAAAAUUUUUUGGAACUAAAAAUGUCCCCAAUCUGCCAUCAGCUUUUCCCCUGAUUCUAAAAAAAAUAAAAAAAAUCAGCCUUUCCCUUCUAGGGAUGGAGACAUAGUUUACAUUCUCAUAUUUUGUAAUUUAAAAUUUAUAAUUUUUAAAAGAACUCAGAUGUUAACAUAGUCUACAUUCUAGUUGUAGUUCUCAAUAACUUUGUAGUUAAUAUAUAUAUUUUUUGUUUUGAAUCAUUUAGAGCACCAAAUAUGUGUUCUAAAUUCUCAUAUUUCUAAAUUUCAAUUUAAGAAUUCCCAAAUGACACCAAAGUUGCAGUGGUCGACGUGAUCUACAACUUUAAACUUGACAAAUUUUUGAUUUGACAUCGAUCAAGUACAUUCUCAAAUAUUCAUUUUAAGUUCUGAAAUUUUCAAAUUCAACUUAAAAGGAAAAUAAAAAAUUCUUGCAUGAAUACACGACCUAUAUCAAAGUUAUAGUACUUGACAAGAUCUAAAAGUUUAUAUUUGAAACUCAUAUGAAAACACUUAUACACGCACACCACAGACCUUACAGUCGGCAGAUUAUGAGAUUGACAAAAAUCACCAUAGACGCCUUGUUAUCGAUGAGCACAUUACCUACCACUAGGGAUAAAAUGGAUGUCUAGAAAUCCGAAUUAUCCGAAUCUGUAUCCACUAAAACGAGUAAUAUGGAAAUCUGUAUUCAUAUCUGUUUCUAAUGUGGAUACUAAAUGGACUGAUUAAGCUUAAAAGAUUCAUCUUGUAAAAUACUUGCAAACUGUGCAAUUAGUUAAUUUUUUUAAUAUAUAGUUAAUGCUCUAUGUAUAUGUUCAAACAUUUGAUGUGAUGGUGUGAAAAUUUUUUAGGUGAGAACUCAUGGCAUUUUUGGCGGUGUGGGUCCUAGCGGUAUAAAAUGGAGUAGGGACCAUGGCACUAGGCAGUUGUCCCACUGAAAUAAAUAUGGAAAGAUGUGUGAUGCAGCAGGAGAGACAGGAGAAGGUUGGAAGCUGGAAAGUUGGUGGGAGCACAUGAACCCCAAUAAUCCCUUCGAUCCAUCGAUCCGCCUGUAAAAGGACGGUUCAUCGUCAUGCACACCCACACCCGGCUGAUCAGAAAGAUUGUGGCGGAUUGGCCUCUAGCUCAUUCCACGGAUCAGGUCUUGUAGGCAGGCAUUCAUCAGAAAGAUUAGAAAGUCGAUCACAUUAUACUCUAGUAGUAGUAUUAGAUGUGUCCCAAGUUCGUUUAAUUAUACUCCUCGUAGUUGUGAGUCUCUAGCUAGGGAUGUAACAAGGAAUAUAAAAAACAAGAGGAAAUAAAGAGUCUAAAUUACUCUCCUCAUGCUUUUUUUUUCAAAAACUGCUGGCAGGAAACAAAUCAAAUUACAAAGGAAAAGUCGAAAAGACAAAUCAAAAGGCCCAAAUGAGGGAUUUAGACCCUCAAAGCAAAAGAGGCAAACAGUAUCAACCAUAGGCAAAAUUUCUCGUAAUUGCUUGGCUCCCACACUACACCAUAAUCUGGCCUCUUUUUUGAUCUUUGCAAUCUCGAUGGUGCUUUGUGUCGAUUCUCAAAAAUCUUUGCAUUUCGCUCUCUCUCCAAAACUCCCAUGUGACAAGAAUCAUAUUACUGCUUUACAUAGAUAAAAGAGGCAAAUAGCCUAAACCAUAGGCAAAAUUUCUCUUCUCAUGCUAUGCCUAUGGUAUAUAUAUCUCCGAACUAGCAAUUGAUUCAAUUUACUCCCUCCAACCAUUUUGAUUGGAUCAAUUUAACCUUUCACACCUGUUUUCCACGUACAUGUUCAAUCUGAAUAAUAAUAAUAAUAAUAAUAAUAAUAAUAAUAAUAAUAAUAAUAAUAAUAAUAAUAAUAAUAAUAAUAAUAAUAAUAAUAAUAAUAAUAAUAAUAAUAAUAAUAAUAAUAAUAAUAACAAUAAUA
This 7842-nucleotide long non-coding RNA is filed under the name Sorghum bicolor (sorghum). RNAcentral's name for it is "long non-coding RNA (SBIC_LNC009118)". Lineage: Eukaryota; Viridiplantae; Streptophyta; Magnoliopsida; Poales; Poaceae. The record is from RNAcentral.